This 7949-nucleotide long non-coding RNA is filed under the name Homo sapiens (human). RNAcentral's name for it is "HSALNT0021084". The record is from RNAcentral. Lineage: Eukaryota; Metazoa; Chordata; Mammalia; Primates; Hominidae.
CAAUCCACUUCUUCUAGAGACAUGGAAGACUCCUGCCUGGAAUGUGGGCAGGGCCAUGUGAGUAGCUCUGGUCAGUGAAAUGUGAGUGCAUGUGGCUUAUAUCAUCACUUCUGGGCUGAGACAGUUAAAAGCCCACACAUGAUUCUUCAGUUUCUUUUCCUGUGCCACAGCAACCAAGAAGGUCACAUGUUCCAGAAGCUGCAGCUAUAAGCACAAGCGAAAAAUAAACUUCUGUGGUGCAAAGUCACUGAGAUUCAGGAGUUGUUGCCAAAGCGGAGCCGAGCUCAGUGGUUCCCAGUCUGGUCCCAGGCACCACGUAAGAUGUUCCUUUGCUCUUCCUUCAUCUUCCACCAUGAUUGUGAGGCCUCCCCAGCCAUGCUGAACUGGGGUAACCACCACAGGCCCACAGGCUAAAAUUGAGCUGGAGUAAGUGGCAACAGAGAGUAUUUAUUGUCCCCUAAGAGCCCUGGCCCUUGUAGGACAUGUGAAUGCCAGUGCUCAUGGAGAAAGGUGGAGGAAGAGAGCCAGAGUGCAGUUCACCUCUGGGAGAGCAGACCAGAGUGGCUUCCGUGGGCACAUGCUGGAUUGAAGUGAGAAGACGUGACUACUAAAGUUGAGGCCCCAAGUCUCAGCUUCUUCCCCCUCCAAAGCAUGAGUGGAGGAUUCACUUAAGGCCACUUUGAAGCCCAUAUUGGAGGAGCAUUACUCACUCUGAGGAUCCUGGCAUAGGCAGAUGCAUCACUUGUAUUGAAGUAUAUUAUCUGCUGUGAUAUUUAUGAUGAAAUGAGUUUGCCAGCCAUCGUCUAUCAGGGGAUCAAACAUAGGCACCUGCCUGUCCAAGGGGGUCUAAGUCACAGUACAGAAGUGGUUUGCAAAGGCUGGUGGGAUGGUGUGGCAGGCCUGUGGAGUUGAAUAAAAAUCCUGAUGUCCUUCCUGGCAUGAAGAAUGGAGCUGCCAAGCUGCCCCCAGGAGAAGCGUGCUGCCUAUGCAUCUCACUGGACUUCUGUGUACAGAAGAAAUAUUGGUGGUUUGACCAAACGCUCGGGCUCCCCACGACUCCCGUUGUUAUAUGGGAAAGAACAAGAAACUUAUAAACAAAACAGAGCAAAAACUUUCUGGAACUCUCUGGAGCCCUUGGCUGUUCUCUGGACCUUCCUUUGCUGUGUCUUGGGGCAGGCACAUCUUGGCUUAGGCUGAGCUUUUCUAUUUGCCAAAAGAGUCAUCUCAGAGGGCACAGCCUGGAGUGCAGCUCAACAAACAUAUGUGUAACAGCCGAGUGCCACCACGUUAAGAACUGGACUUACAAGAUGGAUAGGACCUGGUGGCAGCUGUCCUUGAGGAAGCCAGAGCCUGGAGAGACAGAUCUCAUGUUAUAGCAGAGUACCAAUAUUCUGCAGAAAACCAAAACCUCACCUGCAUUCCUACUCCUAUCAUGAUGUUCUGCCCCCCGGGACCCUUGUUUAUGCUGGUCUCUCCUUUUGAAAGAACGUUACCCUUUUCUUCACCCAGCAAAUUCUUACUCAGACUUCAAGACUCAGUUCAGAGUCUGGGGAUGAAUAUUCUACAAAUGGCCCCCAGGAUUGUCAUGGUCCUCACGGCAGGUGAUUUGCUCUUGAACAAUUAACAGAGUGAAGGCUGUGUUCCAUCUCCUCACAGUCUCCCGCUGGGCAUCCUUGGGAGCACAGGAGGAGAAAGGCUUUCUUCUUGAUCCUAUUACUGCUGCCCAGCAUCAAGAAGGAUUAAUUAACCCACCAGGUUUUGCUUCAUUACGAGGAAAAAAGAAAAGCCAGUGACAGUGGAAUUCAAACAUUGAACAGGCAAAGGAAUCAGUGCUCAAGCACCUUAUGAACAUUUCGAAGACUUAGCUGGGCGGUGUGGCGCAAUGUAAAGUAGGGUGACUUGGUGCAAGUUACACACCCCUGCAGCCCUGUUUCUUCAUCCUCAGAGUUCACACUUCAAUUCUACAAAUUGAUGGCCUAUUCUGAGCUAAGCCCCGCCCACUCUGAACUAAGCCCCGCCUACUUUGAUUCCCUACUCUGAGCUAAGGAACAGUCUUUCAUCCCCAUGAAAGCUUUCUGUCUAGAAGGAACUAAAGAGCAUAAUUAUACUUAUUUUCCAGUGCUGUUGUUAGAAUUAAUUAAAUGUGGUAUAGCAUGUGAAAGUACUCUGUAACUAAACAUUGUAUAAAUGUUAAUUAUUCUCAUUUUCAUAUUUGAUAUUCAGGCAUUCAAACAAUUAUUGAGCACUUAUUAGGGCAAAGAACUAUACUUGCAGCUAACAGUUACGUGAAAGAAUUCGAAGACAUUGUUUUUGCUGUUUAGGAAGGUCCCACAUGGCAAAGCAAUUAAGACACACACAUGAAAUAAUUAAACAACAAAGUUGGGCCUAAAGAAGUUUCAUCUCACGUGCUAAUCAUGGCUGGCUGGCUAUGGCUAUCUAGAGUAUUAUGCUGAAAAUGAUUCUGAAGCUCUUUCUGGGCUCAAUUGAAAAGGAUGAUCUGGUGGAUUAGCAAUGAAUGCCAUGGGCAUAAGUUGGGCAUGUAGUGGUACGUGGACUAGUUGUUUAUAGUGCCUAAUACAAGGUAGCAAACAUAAUGAUAAAAGUAACUGUUAUUGAAAUUCAGCCAAGAUUGGUAUCAGUGUAGGCUUGUAUGACUGACAAAGAAUGUAGAGGAGCUAAAGAGUAAGCUUGACCUUGAAUUACGAGUAGGACUUCAGUGAAGAUAGGAGGCUAUUUCAGAAUGCAGGGCAUCUGGUAGGGAGUAGUGGAUGGUGGAGAGUAAGGAACUCAGUACUUGAUUCAAAGCCUGGGUCUCCCAGAAGUGAGCUGUGUGGCUUGGGCCACUUUAUCUCCUGAGGUCUCAGAGUUUUCAUGUAUAAAAUUGUAGAACUUGUCUUGAUGGUUUUGAACAUUCUUUCUAAUUCUGCACAACAGUCCAUUUGUGGGUUAGAUGAGCCUUUACCAAACUGUAUUUCAUGGAACAAUGGUCCCAAGAGCUGUUCUGUGAAAAGUAAGUUUCAUCAUCAAAUAAUUUUGAGAAAUUCUGAAUCCUAUAUACGUGUUGAUUCCUAUUUCUUUCCUUCCAUUCUUUCUUGAGUCCACUCUGAUUGGUCCUUAAAGUUGGAGUUUAUUUUUAUCAUUAUUGUUAUUGUCAUGGUAGUAAAGAUGGACAAAGGCAGAUUCCACAAACAUCUCAAAAUAAAAGUCAAUAGGACUUGGUGAUUAAUUGCAUAUAGGCAAUGCAGGAGAGGGUCUAAGCAAAGAUGUCAAGUAUUUCAAACUAGAAAAUGAAUAGAAUAAGCCAGGGAAUUAUUGAUGGACAAAAGAAGUUGAACCAGGUUGGUGGACAUGGAGCAGGGGUGCGGAGGGAGAAUACCAUCCUGCAGGCUAGGUACCUCAUGGGUACAGGAAGAGAUGCAUCUAGGUUACUCACAGCUAUGGAAGAUUAUUGCAAAGGUGUAAGAAAAGGUGAAGGAGAUCAUCUCAGCAGCAGCAGCAACAGCACAACGUUGGGGUCUAUAGAGACCACCUUAGUUUGCCUAAGACUAAGAAAUUUCUCAGGACACGAGCCUUUCAGUUCAAAAACUAGGUAAGUUCUGUACCAAAAAAGUUAGUUGUAUUAUUAGGGGAUCAAUUUUCCUUAUUCUAGAAUGGACAGCUGGAUUCAUAAUCAAAGGACAAUGUGUUGUUGCCAGCAAUUUCUGUUGAGCAUUUUAUGAACAGAGUUUAGAUUAGCCCCUUAACAGAUGGCUGGUGUCUCCUGUGCCUAGCACAUGUAGAAGCAUCUUUAGCCCGUCCAACCCUCUCUGGUCUUCCUGGCUAUGGCUGGGUAACAUUUGGAUCCACCUCUUAAUGGAGUAUGCCAUAUGCAGUGGGAAAAACAGAGAGGACUGCUUUCAUACCAUAUUCGUGUGAUAGAAUGAAUAAUUCUUUCAUGGGUUCCUCCCCGAGUCCAUCCAGUUCAGAGGAAAGAUGAUUAGGACUUUCCUCCAGCUGACUUUAAGGGAGGGUGGGAUGUUUAGGUAGAGGAGUAUUUACAAAAUCAGGGGAAAGAGUUGCAUUUGGGCUUAAAAAAUUCCUGAAUAUUCUUUUUUAAAAGAAAUGCCUGGUCAAAUACCGUAGGGAAUUACUGAGGAAGAACUUGAAAGAGGGAUGGAGAAGGAAGAGGAAAGAUAGAAAAGAAAAGAGACAGUAGGAGAGAAAAAGAGAGGAGAGAGAGAGAGAGAGAGAGAGAGAGGUUUGUCACAACCAGGUUUUCCCACCCCUACCUAGGGCAUUAGAACCUUCCACUAUUGCAGCUAAGAGAAUAGAGCAUGUGAACAGCUUGUACAUUUACUUAAACACCAAUGGUUUCAGCUUCUCAUACUGCACUCUACUCAAAGGUACAGUAGAUUCAGGGACCUGUCACUUAAGACAACUCUUUACCUUCCAACCAACCAAAGUGCAUUUUACAAUGUCAAUGCCAUUUCACAGAGAGGGGCAUUCAUCAGGGGUGUCUGAAGUCCAGGCCAGCCUGAGAAGGAGGUGCCAAGGCUUGGGAGUUGAGGGACCCAGGUCCUAGCUUUCUCUCCACUGGGCUCCAUUGUGUGAUCAUGGGCAACUGGCUAAACAUCUCUGGACUUUGUUCUUCCAACCUUUAAAAGGAAGCAAGGACCCACUCUUUUUGUUGAAAGAAGCUGGAGAGAGUAACUGCUGAGCCCAGGGAGAGGAGGGCAGAUGCAGGGCCAUUGUAGCCUGCUCUCACGAAUAUAAACACUCUAGAGUUUGGUCAACCCCAAAGGCCCUUUCUUCCUUAUUGGUUACUCAGGAUUUCCAAUCACCUGGGGCUCUCAAAAGUCAACAGGGGCCACUCAGCUAACCUCAGGGGUUUGAUAUAACCGGCAGGUGAAAGAGGCCAAAAAGACCUCCCCAGACUUCAGCGAGUUGUCAGCCCUUAAGCCCUUGAGCCUGCAGCAGGGGAUGAAAUAUCCUUUGGUUUUCAAAUCCCAUUGACCCAGGGCUUAUCCACGAAGGCAGGCUGGAACCUGGAGCAUAGGGCGAAGGCAGAUGUGGCAGGUUGGCUCUAGGCAGAAUCACUUGGUAGACCCGUCCUCGGCACCUGAUUCUACAUCUGGAAAAGUGAGUGAUAACUGUUGGAGUAAUAGUCCUCAGGAGUGCCUGUUAAAAGGGAUCAAAGCUUUGUGCUAAAGGGGAUCCUAGGAAGUAUAAGAGAAAUAGCUGAGAGCAGCCAAAAGGUACAGGAUGUGGAAUAGGGGCACGGAGGCAGCGCUGGUAACCAGCCCUGCACACACUCAUUAAGGCCCAACCAUGAGCUGUGACCAGAGAGUUGGGAUAUGCAUUUGGAAGUUGAAGUCCAAGUUUACAUCUUUCAUUGUGAGUCCUCAGUGGACCCAUCUACCUGUUGAUGGUGAACAGGUCCAAGACUGUAAUGAGGUGUAAGUACCAUUAGGUGGCGAUACAUGAAUGCCUUUCCCAUCUGGUUCCAAAAGAAGAGCACUAUGGGUUUGUCUCCCAGCUCAGGCUUAUAAGCAGCACAUCCAUGUUCCCUGCAUCUGUAGAUCAGCUUUAGCACCCACAGUGCCAGCUGCAAGUGGGGGUAGUGUGUGUGCGUUUUGAGCGCGUGCAUGCACAUAUGCCAAUUGUUGUGUAUUUUCACCUCAAUGUCGGUGACCAGCAAAUGAGGCAUCAGUGACACCCUGGCAGCAACUGACUACUUGGGCCACACUCUGAAAAUGGAUUGCCUCUGUUUUCUCUGCUUGAUCUUCACUGGGGGAAAAGAGUUAAAUUCGAUUUCCAGGAGCUCUCCAUGAGAGCCAACUUCAGCACAAGUUCCCAUUUCCAGAGAGGCUGCCGAGUCUCUCAUUUGUAAAGGCCUCCUCCCUUUGCCCUGAGCGGACUAGCCUUCCCCUACUUCUGCCUCUUUGCCUCUGUGUCACAGUUUUGUGGUCGAUGACACCCUCUCCUUAUCCUGCACCUCCUCCUGGUCUUGCCGACAUGGCUCAAUACUUUGUGCCUAAAUACAGGACUUGUACCAGUCUCCUAUGUCCCCGUGGAGGGCCCAGUGACAAAGGAAAAAAACCAGCCUUUCUCUGCUCAUCUGGGUGCAUAGGGCUCACCCUGAGGGAAGCUGGAAGUGGCAGCAAAUUUUUGUUUAUAAAUAAAAACAAAGACAACUUGUCGUUCCAAAGGAAAAUGCCCCCUGGUGAAAGAAACACUUAAAACCACUGAAGAAUUAGUUUCGUUUUGUCCUUGGUGGCCACCCUGUCAGCAGGUUUCCUUGAUCUUAUGUUGGUGACAGAGUCUCAAACUGAAUGCCAAGGGAAGGAUUCCACACAUAUUCCUUGGAUUUGUAGCUGAGGUACAGCCCUGGGCCUGGGGACAUGGAGAAGACCCAGCCUGCAAAACUCAAUCAUGGCUCUGCAGAUUUUACCCAGUUUGGAGAUCUACUAGCUACCACACUCGACACACACACACACACACACACACACACACACACACACUAUGAUGGAUGUCAUUCUUGUCUGCAACAUGCUCUAGUGACUGGGCCCAAGUCAGGCACAGCUUCUUGUGUGAACUGAAACACCAUUCUUUUCUUCCCUGUGUGAAAAAACAGAAUACAAGGGUGAGUGAUCUUAUGAAAACACUACUGAAUCUGUUCCAUUUUACAUAUUCACAAAAUUGAGGCCACUUAAUGUAAUAGAUAAAAGUAAUACAGAGACAACUACAAUAGGAAACAAAAGGUGAGAAAUGACAGAAGAAACAACACUCAGUGAAUACUGGGACUCAAGAGCAGGAGCAAUGGCAGCCACUUUGGAGUAGGAAGGUGAGCACUAGGAAGGGCCCCCCACCCCCUGCAAUAAGCUUUGAUGGACGGAUGGAAUUUUUUUCAAGGUAUUCUUUUUUAAAAAACAUCUUUAUUGAGAUAUACUUCAAAUACUAUAAAAUUCACUCAUUUAAAGCAUACAAUGCAGUGGUUUUUAGUAUAUUCACAGAGGUACACAACCAUUGUCACAAUCUAAGUUUAGAACAUUUUUGUCGCCUCUAACAGAAACAUGCAGUCAUGAGCAGUCAGCCCCAUUCACCCCUCACUCCCCAGCCCUAGGCAACCACUAGUCUACUUUCUGUCUCUAUAGAUGUGCCUAUUCUAGGUAUUUUAUAUUAAUGGAAUUAUAGUUUUUUGUGGCUGUCUUCUUCAACUUAGCAUAAUGUUUUCAAGGUUUGUCCAUGUUGUAAAAGGUGUCGGUACUUCAUUUCUUUUCAUGGCCGAAAAAUAUUCCAUUGUAUAGAUAUUCCCCAUGUUUGUUUAUUCAUUCAUCUAUUAAUGAACAUUUGGGUUGUUUCCACUUUUUGCCUAUUAUGAGAAAUGGUGCAGUUCUUUCAUCUGCAUGUUUUUAUGUGGACAUGUUUUCAUUUCUCUUGGGUGUAUACCUAGGAGUGGAAUUGCUAGGUCAUAUAUUAUCCCUAUGUCUAACUUUUUGAGGAAUUGCCAAACUGUUUUUCAAAGUGGCUGCACCUUACCGCAUUCCCACCAGCAAUAAAUAAGGGUUUCAAUUUAUCAGUGUCCUUGUUAUAGUCUGUCUUUUUGAUGAUAGACAUCCUGGAGGGUGUGAAGUGGUAUCUCGUUGUGGUUUUGAUUUGCAUUUCCCUGAUGACUAAUGAUGUUGAGCAUCUUUUCAUGUGCUUAUUAGCUAUUUGUAUUUUUUUUUUUUGGUGUUGGGGGACAUAUGUCUAUUCAAAUCCUGGGCCCAGGUCAGGCACAGAUGCUUUUUAAUUCGGUUGUCUUUUUAUUUUUGAGUGGAUGGCUGAGUUUUUGAGAGGUGUAGGAGUGUAGGAGCAAAAGCUUAGAUGUGGAAAAGGUAGGCACUUGUAAGGAGUAAGAAGUAAAACAGAUUGGCUUCAGAGUGUAGCAUUUUCAUGAGAGAUGUGACUCUGCAUUUAACAGAAAAGGC